This 274-nucleotide ribosomal RNA is filed under the name uncultured bacterium. Its description in RNAcentral is "partial 16S ribosomal RNA". It matches the Rfam family "Bacterial small subunit ribosomal RNA", at positions 523 to 796 of the family's 1533-position model. The record is from RNAcentral.
AUACGGAGGGUGCAAGCGUUAAUGGGAAUUACUGGGCGUAAAGCGCGCGUAGGCGGAUUGUUAAGUCUCAUGUGAAAGCCCUGGGCUCAACCUGGGAACUGCAUGGGAUACUGGCAAUCUAGAAUACAGUAGAGGGUAGUGGAAUUUCAGGUGUAGCGGUGAAAUGCGUAGGGAUCUGAAGGAACAUCAGUGGCGAAGGCGACUACCUGGACUGAUAUUGACGCUGAGGUGCGAAAGCGUGGGGAGCAAACGGGAUUAGAAACCCCAGUAGUCC